Molecule: long non-coding RNA, 1397 nt
Filed under: Homo sapiens (human)
Lineage: Eukaryota; Metazoa; Chordata; Mammalia; Primates; Hominidae
Description: non-protein coding lnc-UNCX-3:19
Source: RNAcentral
GCUUCUCGCAGGCGGCGCGCUUGCUGGGUCACAGUGAGGCGGCUCCGCGCAGGCGCAGCCGGGCGGGCGAGGAGCGGGGAAGCUGACUCAGGGCUGCGGCCGGGGUCCUGCGGGGUAGGAGCGCGAGGCCGGCCUGAGGGAGGAGGCCUAGCGACCCAUCCGGCGCCUCCCGCCCCGGGCACCCGCCCGCGGCCGCGCAUCCUGCGGGCCCCAGGAGGCCUCCAUCUCAAAACAACGUGUUUUUAGGCACAUGACAGCCUUCUUGCAAUCAAGAAACUACGUGUGGCCAGGAUCUCAUCCACUAUCACAGUUUCAGCUUUCCCCAAACUGGAAUGUGUCUUUGCAGACGCCCAUCCUUAUUAAAGGGCAAAGACUUCUCAUACACCUAGGAUGGAUCUUAUAUUCUUGGCGGGACUGCAGAGAAGGUGCCGUGUCCUGAGUCCUCAUGUCAGGGCACAGGCUUCCAGCCAGUUCUACCUGGGUUAUGUUUAUCUCAAUUCCCUGGUGGUAUUGGUGUCUGCUGGGUUUUGCCAGAAUGAAGACACCGUGUUUUCAUUUGUCAGUUGAUUCGUAUUUUCCAGGAAGACAUUCUGAGAUUACAGCAUUGUCUUAGUCAAGGUGCUGCAGAAGGACAGAACUAAUAGGAUAUAUGUACAUAUGAAAGAAAGUUUAUGAAGAACUGGCUCACACCAUCACAAGGCAAAGUCCCAUGACAGGCCAUCUGCAAGCUGAGGAGCGAGGAAGCCAGCAGUGGCUCAGCCGGAGUCCAACAGCCUCAAACGGAAUCCAACAGUUCAGGCUUCAGUCUGUGGCCAAAUGCCCAGAGACCCCGGAAAGCUACUGGUGUUAGUCCCAGAGCCGGAAGGCCAAAGAACCUGGAGUGUGAUGUCCAAGGGCAGGAGGAAUGGACAGAAGCAUCCAGCAUGGGGUAAAGACGAAAGCCAGAAGACUCAGCAAGCUAGCUUACCUACUUUCUUCUGCCUGCCUUGUUCUAGCCGCGCUGGCAGCCGGUUGGAGGGUGCCCACCCCCACUGAGGGUGGAUCUUCCUCUCCUAGUCCACUGACUCAAAUUUCAGUCUCUCUGGGAGCACCAUCACACCAGAAACAAUACCAGCCAUCUAGCCACCCUUCAGUUCACCAUCACAACCAUUGUCUUAUUCAUGAAACUUCUGCAGACCCACCUUAACCUCCAUCGGUGACUUCUACCUGAAGCCCUCUGAUUGUUGCCCAGUGGUGCUUUUUAAAAUAAUUUCCAUAGUUUCUUCUACACCUUUAGUUGGCAUUCUACUGUAAAGGAGAGAUUUUAUUUUCUUACUCAUUUAUUUGUUAGUUUAUAGUCACCACCAUAUGGAUGCAGAGUUCUGUCUCAUUCACUGGGAAGUAUUCUAUUGCAGUCA